GAAUAUAUAUACGGUGUAGUUCCUAAGGAAGGUUUACAAAAUUUUAACACUGUAAAAAAUUUUUACCACUAUGUGGGAAUAGUCGAUGCUGCAUCUUGCCACAAAGAGGGAACCACCUUACACGUGGGGAGACGAUUGGGCCUUUGGGAAAUGGGAAUAUAUGCUGCAAUGCAAAGAUGAUGACCCCAUGCAACAUAUAUACCAUCAUCUGGUCUUGUUUUAGCGCUGCGUUUUCUUUUUAGAUCCUGGGCUGUGGCUGUUGCUAUCAGCCUCAUUAACACACAUGCCCGCAUACAAGUAUACGACGACGAUUUCUGUAAUUAGUCUGUGGAUUAUAUCAAAG
RNAcentral lists this long non-coding RNA (343 nucleotides) under Setaria viridis. RNAcentral describes it as "long non-coding RNA (SVIR_LNC008797)". The record is from RNAcentral. Lineage: Eukaryota; Viridiplantae; Streptophyta; Magnoliopsida; Poales; Poaceae.